ACAGCAUAUUUCGCCUACUUCUGAUAAAACUUGCAUUUGGCAACAGCUUCAGCACUAUACUCAAUUCCCCGAUUUCAACAACUAUCUCGCUUUUAUUUUUGCCCGCGCUCAGGGCACACCAGUUGAAAUUCGACAGGCUGCAGGUCUAUUGCUAAAAAAUAAUCUGAGAAGUGCAUUCAAAUCCAUGGAUCCUGCCUAUCAACAAUAUAUAAAAUCAGAG
This 220-nucleotide unclassified non-coding RNA is filed under the name Hevea brasiliensis (rubber tree). Lineage: Eukaryota; Viridiplantae; Streptophyta; Magnoliopsida; Malpighiales; Euphorbiaceae. The record is from RNAcentral.